GCUCCCGUGGCUCAGUUGGUAGAGCGCUGGACUUCUAAUCCUGAGGCCCCGGGUUCGAGCCCCGGCGGGAGUA
Amoeboaphelidium occidentale is the source of this 73-nucleotide non-coding RNA. Lineage: Eukaryota; Fungi; Aphelidiomycota; Aphelidea. The record is from the annotation of a GenBank genome assembly.